This is an unclassified non-coding RNA of Chrysemys picta bellii (western painted turtle), 165 nucleotides long. NCBI's taxonomy places the organism in Eukaryota, Metazoa, Chordata, Testudines, Emydidae. The record is from Ensembl.
UGGACAAUUCUAGAGUCUGUAGCCCUCUCUUCAGCGAAAAGGAAUAGCAAGGGCAGUGACAAUGCAAGCUUUCCCACACUGCCCCACCUAUGUCCUCCACUGGAGGAUCUCCAACAGUGAUGAAAGAAUAGGUUGUUCUUUGUGCUUAUUCAGUACUCAUCUGAG